RNAcentral lists this ribosomal RNA (699 nucleotides) under uncultured bacterium. RNAcentral's name for it is "bacterial SSU rRNA". It matches the Rfam family "Bacterial small subunit ribosomal RNA", at positions 8 to 685 of the family's 1533-position model. The record is from RNAcentral.
AGAGUUUGAUCCUGGCUCAGGACGAACGCUGGCGGCGUGCCUAACACAUGCAAGUCGAGCGAGAAAGCCCCUUCGGGGGUUAGUAAAGCGGCGGACGGGUGAGUAACACGUGAGCGAUCUACCCAAGGGUGGGGGACAACUCAGGGAAACCUGAGCUAAUACCGCGUACAGCGCCGGCUUGGAAGCCUGGCGUGAAAGGUGGCCUCUACUUGUAAGCUACCGCCUUUGGAUGAGCUCGCGGCCUAUCAGCUUGUUGGUGGGGUAAUGGCCUACCAAGGCAAUGACGGGUAGCUGGCGUGAGAGCGCGACCAGCCACACUGGGACUGAGACACGGCCCAGACUCCUACGGGAGGCAGCAGUGGGGAAUAUUGCGCAAUGGGCGAAAGCCUGACGCAGCGACGCCGCGUGGGGGAGGAAGGCCUCAGGGUUGUAAACCCCUGUCAGGUGGGACGAAACCCGUAGUGUCGAAUAGGCAUUACGAUUGACGGUACCACCAAAGGAAGCUCCGGCUAACUCAGUGCCAGCAGCCGCGGUAAUACUGGGGGAGCGAGCGUUGUUCGGAAUUACUGGGCGUAAAGGGCGCGUAGGCGGCUUGGUCAGUCGCGUGUGAAAGGCCGGGGCUCAACCCCGAGCACUGCACGUGAUACUGCCUGGCUCGAGAGAGGUAGGGGCGAGCGGAAUUCCCGGUGUAGCGGUGGA